This 565-nucleotide long non-coding RNA is filed under the name Vigna radiata. Its description in RNAcentral is "long non-coding RNA (VRAD_LNC012905)". Lineage: Eukaryota; Viridiplantae; Streptophyta; Magnoliopsida; Fabales; Fabaceae. The record is from RNAcentral.
CAGAUUAAUAUUUGAUUCAGGAGGAACUUCCAUGGAGAUUACAACAAUAAGUCCUCAGGCGAACCAUCAGAUUUGAGGACAAAUCCUUUCCAAGAGGGAGGGGAUGAUACGCGGGGCCCAAGCCCAAUGUCUUUAGUUUAGUAUUUCUUUUAAUUGUAUUAGAGAUGUGUACAAUGUGUUAGGCAUGUGGUACAUUUAGAGUUAAUGGUAUAAAAUAUCGACUCAUCAAAAUAGACCACACUUAGUCUUUUGCACUCUUAGGCAAAAUCAAGACGCAAAACAGGGAAUAGUACAGAGGACAUCAGGAAGUUGACACAGACUCAUCACACAGAAACAAAGACUCACAAGGAAAGAAACAAACAGAAUUACACAAUUCUCAAGAAAUCUAGACGAUGAAAGUAAGUGGACAGUAUCCCACACAGAAUCAAGAAAAGCAGAUACUCAUGAAAUCAUCCAAGCAGUUCAAAGCAUGACAAAAUGAUCAAUCAGUUCAAGAGGUGAAUCAAAAGCACAAAACCUCACAGAUGCACACUAUCAGUGUUUCUCUCAAGUGUCUAGGAUAAAC